CAUGCGCUGUUCUUGUUGGGUUCGCUUUGGCUGCUGUAACGGUCGUUUCUCGUCGCCGCGUGUAGUUCGCGUAAUUGCGAGCGUUCCAGCAAGUCUAAAGCGUUUAAGAGGCUUUGUAUUGUUGUUCUCACCUGAUGCUGUCGUUCUUGCAACCCGUCUGAUAUUGCAACUGUCUGUAAGUGGAAGCGUUUCUUCUAACCGCGAGCAGACCAGUCGGUCUCGUUUGACAUGUCAAAGAGUGAAGACGCUGCCUUGCAUGUGAAGCCAAAUCGUUCUUCGCCUUCAGGAUUCUUGCCGUUUCAGGGAUCUGCACAACGACAGGGAGAUAGAACGCCAAGUGAAGUCUACUGUAUGCUUUGUGCAGACGGUUCAGCGUGUAUGACGCAGCGGCCUCCAGCAAGAGAAACUCAAGCACCGUGUUCAAAUGCGGUGGGGACUCUUGCUCGACAUAACAACGCUUAGAAGUGCUUUUUCGGAAGAAGGACAAGUUGGACCGGAAAUG
Ornithodoros turicata is the source of this 502-nucleotide long non-coding RNA. RefSeq lists it as uncharacterized. The record is from RefSeq and is a predicted model, not a curated record. Lineage: Eukaryota; Metazoa; Arthropoda; Arachnida; Ixodida; Argasidae. The transcript is spliced from 3 exons.